CCCUUAGAUGUUCUGGGCCGCACGCGCGCUACACUGAUGCAUUCAACGAGUUUAUAACCUUGACCGAGAGGUCUGGGUAAUCUUUUAAACGUGCAUCGUGAUAGGGAUAGAUUAUUGCAAUUAUUAAUCUUGAACGAGGAAUUCCUAGUAAACGCAGUUCAUCAGACUGCAUUGAUUACGUCCCUGCCCUUUGUACACACCGCCCGUCGCACCUACCGAUUGAAUGGUCCGGUGAAACUUCGGGACUGAGCGAUUGUUGCUUCAUUGUGACUUUUGCUUGGAAACUUAUUUAAACCUUAUCAUUUAGAGGAAGGUGAAGUCGUANCA
Molecule: ribosomal RNA, 327 nt
Filed under: uncultured eukaryote
Lineage: Eukaryota
Description: partial 18S ribosomal RNA
Rfam family: Eukaryotic small subunit ribosomal RNA
Source: RNAcentral